UGCCCCAGGGACCUUUGGAAUAUUCCCUGGCUUCUCCCGCUUCUUCUUCUUACGGUAUAAGGGUAGACCUGAUCCAGAAUGUGGCUUUGGCACUGAGGAGCAGUGAGCUCAGUGCUCUUCACUGCGCGUACCAGCAGCAGAAUAUCAGGGAACCCACGGAGACCAGAGAAGGAGAGGAGGAGCAUGGAGGAUUUCACAUGGGAGUUGGAAGGACUUGUUGAUGAGCACAGAAAGCCUCAGCAGUGAAACCAGAAAAUGCAGUCUUGGCAGGAACUGCUGGGGUUCCUGGAAACCCAUUCAGUGCAGACACCUGGGGCCAGAUCCUUGGAGCAAAAAAGGUCCUUCAGUAAAGAAUAGAAUCUCAUGAAAUCCUUCCAGCUCACACACUUCUAACCUUUGAGUCAACUUUGAUGGCUGGUCAAAGGGUAUCAAAAUGGCUCCAAAUGCACAGAUUAAGCAGCUCUCCACUGUCUGAAUAGUUGAAGUAUCCAAGAAAAGGACAAAAAUGGAAGCAAAGAUUGUCUUUUUUGCCUUGUUUCUUUCUUUUCAAAUGGUGACAAGCUGGAAACAGUCUAAAUACCCAAAACAAGGAACUGGCUAAGUCAAUUACGGUGCAGAAACUUAAGGGAAUGCUAUACAGCAAUGAAAAUAAGUAAGAAAAUGACCUAUGAAAAUAUGUUUAUAAUGUUACACUUAAAUCCAGAAUACAGAACUGUGUGUUCACUGUAUGAAAUAUGUGAGUGCAUGAACAGAAG
Molecule: long non-coding RNA, 755 nt
Organism: Dama dama (fallow deer)
Lineage: Eukaryota; Metazoa; Chordata; Mammalia; Artiodactyla; Cervidae
Exons: 3
Source: RefSeq, a predicted model, not a curated record